GAGAAGAGAAACUGAGGCUCAGAAGAGAUGCCUGGCUGAGUUUAAUAGGACUGCAACAACAAUUUUGCCUUUCUACUUUCUGCUCACCGAAGAAGACAGGAAAACUUGUCAGAUGGGGAAGGAUGUGUCAAGAGCAUGCACACAGAUUUACUCUUCAGCUAGAAGCUCCAAUUCCUAGAUGAUCUGAAUCCAACUCAGAGUGCUUGCACCUGUUUCCUGCCACACAGCUAGAGCUGUAUGAUGACCGGAGACACAGCUGUUGGAGGAAAAAAGUUUAUGUCAAUUAAAAUCCUGAAUUUCUCUGAUCUGGAAAGAAAAACUGCUAUGAACUCUUUAGGUUUCAGAUAAUGAAUACAAGAGUAAACAGGAACCCUGACUUACAGCAUAGGACUACAGGACUGGGGAGAGAAUCAUGCUACAACUGCAGUCGAGGUAAGAUGUACCUUUUGCCUUCCACCACGAUUGUGAGGCCUUCCCAGCCACAUGGGACUGUGAUUCGAUUAAACCUCUUUUUCUUUAUACAUUACCCAGUCUCAGAUGCCAACACAAGUGCUGAAGAGGAUGUUACAUGAGAGAAAGAUGGAUUCAUAUGUGGAAAAGCCUUCUAAGGAUAAAGUCUACCAUAUACUGACUUACUUUUGGAGCCUUGACAUCCUUCAUGCCACACCACUUUAUCAGUAAACCCUCCAGGAUGGAACUAUUUACUGAAAUGCCAGUACUCCCCCUCAUUUUUUAAACUACAUGACCUGUUCAGUGCUGUCUGUUCUGGAAUGAAAGGCCAAUAUCCAAGUGUUCAGAAAGACCCGGGAGAUGGGACAAAGAGGAUGAAGCUGGGGCUGGAAGGCGACUCUGGGAACGGCUCAUAAAGAUGUCCCACAGAAUGACUGAGGCUUUGUUUCAUGAAUAGGUGUCUCCAUUCGGCCUUGAUGGCUAACCAGCCAACUGAACAAGUGUAAAGGGCCCAAGAAAGGCCCGUAAAACCCAUGACAUGAAAGAACAAUUUAGGAAAAUAACAACUAAGGUAAAAAUAUCAUUUUUAUUGCAUAAAUUGCAUGAGGAGUUGUGAAAUUAAAACCAUUUAUUUAUAAAAGUUAUUUCCUCAAAAAAUAAAUAAUAUUAGGUAUAUCUCCUAAUGCUAUCCCUCCCCCCUCCCCACCCCACAACAGGCCCCAGUGUGUGAUGUUCCCCUUCCUGUGUCCAUGUGUUCUCAUUGUUCAAUUCCCACCUAUGAGUGAGAACAUGCGGUGUUACACCU
This 1255-nucleotide long non-coding RNA is filed under the name Homo sapiens (human). Its description in RNAcentral is "novel transcript". Lineage: Eukaryota; Metazoa; Chordata; Mammalia; Primates; Hominidae. The record is from RNAcentral.